Molecule: long non-coding RNA, 299 nt
Organism: Symphalangus syndactylus (siamang)
Lineage: Eukaryota; Metazoa; Chordata; Mammalia; Primates; Hylobatidae
Source: RefSeq, a predicted model, not a curated record
GGUACAAGUGAUUCAAAUCUCAACACCCUUAAAGGAAUUCUGAUUUCAAGUUUGAAAUAAGAACCAUCCUUUGUGUGGAUUCAGAUGACAGAAGUCGAGAAUGAGCAGAUGUCUUUCAAAAAGGAACAUUAAGAAAAUGCAUGUUUGAUGUCAUGAAAUUUGAUUUCAUAGAGCAUCAGAAAAGCACAGUGAGAGCACUCAUAAUCCAUCAAAUGUAUGUGUUAUGAGCUAUGUACUGGGAAUUCAGAAGCAACAGUUGAAAAGUGUGAAAGUUCGGAAGAAAAUAAACUUCAACUCGG